UACGGAGGGAGCUAGCGUUGUUCGGAAUUACUGGGCGUAAAGCGUACGUAGGCGGCUUUGUAAGUUAGAGGUGAAAGCCCGGAGCUCAACUCCGGAAUUGCCUUUAAGACUGCAUCGCUUGAAUCCUGGAGAGGUGAGUGGAAUUCCGAGUGUAGAGGUGAAAUUCGUAGAUAUUCGGAAGAACACCAGUGGCGAAGGCGGCUCACUGGACAGGUAUUGACGCUGAGGUACGAAAGCGUGGGGAGCAAACAGG
This 253-nucleotide ribosomal RNA is filed under the name uncultured bacterium. Its description in RNAcentral is "partial 16S ribosomal RNA". It matches the Rfam family "Bacterial small subunit ribosomal RNA", at positions 524 to 776 of the family's 1533-position model. The record is from RNAcentral.